GUUCGUAGGUACACCUGCUACCUGUCAACAACAUACCAUGUAAUUACUGAACUAUUGUGGUAACUAAGAAGCGAUGUGCGAGAAACUCAAAAAGGUUUCUCAAGAAAUUCACAAUGGAACCAUAAGGCCUUGAAGAUUUAUAGUUAUGCUGAGGUAUAAUUAAAAUUGCAGAGAGCUCCAAAAUACAGGUUCUCAGGGAAUCUACCUGAAAGUUAGACAAGCAAU
Arabidopsis thaliana (thale cress) is the source of this 225-nucleotide long non-coding RNA. RefSeq annotates it as other RNA. The record is from RefSeq. Lineage: Eukaryota; Viridiplantae; Streptophyta; Magnoliopsida; Brassicales; Brassicaceae. The transcript has a single exon.